GCAGCAGCCAGUUAUCUCAACACAUAAACAUUGACAGCGCAGAAUGGCGAAAGCUGCACUACGAUGUAUAGAGUGCAAUGAAGAUGCGAACGAGCUCCAUCGUGAUUACAGCAACGGGAUUUUAAAAAUUACCAUAUGUGACUCGUGUAAGAAGCCAGUGGACAAAUACAUUGAGUAUGAUCCUGUCAUUGUUCUGAUUGAUGCCAUCUUGUGCAAAAUUCAAGCAUUCAGGCACAUUUUGUUCAACACAGAGGUCAAUAUUCACUGGAAGCUGUGUGUGUUCUGCCUCCUGUGUGAGGCGUAUCUGAGAUGGUCCCAGCUGCAGGGCUCUGAACAGACCAGUGACCCUGCUGACAUCAUCAGAUACACCAGGGAAUGGGACUUCUAUAGCAUGUUUGGACUCGCAGCUCUCGAGCUGGCUGUGUUCGUUUGUGGUGUGCUGGCCUGUCUGUGGCUGGUGGUGGGGCUGCGGGGCCAGGUGCUGGACACCCACCUGCUGGUCAAAGCCCUGCUGCUGUCCAGCUACGGCAAGGUGCUACUCAUCCCAGCAGUCAUCUGGGAGCACGACUACUCGCCCCUCUGCUUCAGCCUCAUUAAGAUCUUUGUGCUGACCUCCAACACACAGGCCGUCAGAGGUAACAGUUAUGGUUACUGUUUAACAUGUCCUGCUACAACACACAGGCUGUCAGAGGUAACAGUUACGGUUACUGUUUAACAUGUCCUGCUACAACACACAUGCCGUCAGAGGUAACAGUUACGGUUACUGUUUAACAUGUCCUGCUACAACACACAGGCCGUCAGAGUUCUACUGAACUGUGGCCGAUGCCUUUCUCUGCUGGCUGUGAUGUCUGGACUGUUACUGGAGUCCUGCGUUUCGCUGACCUUCCACAGGCUUGAGUGGCACACGCAGGACUUCCUACCACACCCGUGACCUAACGUCGACCCCUU
RNA transcript from Alosa sapidissima (American shad), 948 nucleotides. It is a transcript of the gene named ARV1 homolog, fatty acid homeostasis modulator, with no coding region annotated. The record is from RefSeq and is a predicted model, not a curated record. Lineage: Eukaryota; Metazoa; Chordata; Actinopteri; Clupeiformes; Clupeidae. The transcript has 5 exons.